RNAcentral lists this ribosomal RNA (498 nucleotides) under uncultured bacterium. Its description in RNAcentral is "bacterial SSU rRNA". It matches the Rfam family "Bacterial small subunit ribosomal RNA", at positions 1011 to 1509 of the family's 1533-position model. The record is from RNAcentral.
UUGGUGCCUUCGGGAACGUCUGAGACAGGUGCUGCAUGGCUGUCGUCAGCUCGUGUUGUGAAAUGUUGGGUUAAGUCCCGCACGAGCGCAACCCUUAUCCUUUGUUGCCAGCGGUUAGGCCGGGAACUCAAAGGAGACUGCCAGUGAUAAACUGGAGGAAGGUGGGGAUGACGUCAAGUCAUCAUGGCCCUUACGAGUAGGGCUACACACGUGCUACAAUGGCGCAUACAAAGAGAAGCGACCUCGCGAGAGCAAGCGGACCUCAUAAAGUGCGUCGUAGUCCGGAUUGGAGUCUGCAACUCGACUCCAUGAAGUCGGAAUCGCUAGUAAUCGUAGAUCAGAAUGCUACGGUGAAUACGUUCCCGGGCCUUGUACACACCGCCCGUCACACCAUGGGAGUGGGUUGCAAAAGAAGUAGGUAGCUUAACCUUCGGGAGGGCGCUUACCACUUUGUGAUUCAUGACUGGGGUGAAGUCGUAACAAGGUAAGCGUAGUGCU